This 483-nucleotide ribosomal RNA is filed under the name uncultured Entrophospora. Its description in RNAcentral is "SSU rRNA". It matches the Rfam family "Eukaryotic small subunit ribosomal RNA", at positions 569 to 1050 of the family's 1831-position model. Lineage: Eukaryota; Fungi; Glomeromycota; Glomeromycetes; Entrophosporales; Entrophosporaceae. The record is from RNAcentral.
AGCAGCCGCGGUAAUUCCAGCUCCAAUAGCGUAUAUUAAAGUUGUUGCAGUUAAAAAGCUCGUAGUUGAAUUUCGGGAUUGGCGCAUCGGUCGUGCCUCACGGGGUAUGAACUGGUGCAGUCAAUUUCUCACCUUCUGGAGAACCGCGAUGUCCUUAAUUGGAUGCCGCGGGGAACCAGGACCUUUACUUUGAAAAAUUAGAGUGUUUAAAGCAGGCAUUUUUGCUUGAAUACAUUAGCAUGGAAUAAUAAAAUAGGACGGCAUGGUUCUAUUUUGUUGGUUUCUAGGACCACCGUAAUGAUUAAUAGGGAUAGUUGGGGGCAUUAGUAUUCAAUUGUCAGAGGUGAAACUCUUGGAUUUAUUGAAGACUAACUACUGCGAAAGCAUUUGCCAAGGAUGUUUUCAUUAAUCAAGAACGAAAGUUAGGGGAUCGAAGACGAUCAGAUACCGUCGUAGUCUUAACCAUAAACUAUGCCGACUAGG